AGAGUUUGAUCCUGGCUCAGAUUGAACGCUGGCGGCAUGCUUUACACAUGCAAGUCGAACGGCAGCACGGGCUUCGGCCUGGUGGCGAGUGGCGAACGGGUGAGUAAUGCGUCGGAACGCGCCGAGUAGUGGGGGAUAACGCAGCGAAAGCUGUGCUAAUACCGCAUACGUACUGAGGUAGAAAGUGGGGGACCUUCGGGCCUCACGCUAUUCGAGCGGCUGACGUCUGAUUAGCUAGUUGGUGGGGUAAAGGCUCACCAAGGCGACGAUCAGCAGCGGGUCUGAGAGGAUGAUCCGCCACACUGGGACUGAGACACGGCCCAGACUCCUACGGGAGGCAGCAGUGGGGAAUUUUGGACAAUGGGCGCAAGCCUGAUCCAGCCAUGCCGCGUGUCUGAAGAAGGCCUUCGGGUUGUAAAGGACUUUUGUCCGGGA
This 435-nucleotide ribosomal RNA is filed under the name uncultured bacterium. Its description in RNAcentral is "bacterial SSU rRNA". It matches the Rfam family "Bacterial small subunit ribosomal RNA", at positions 8 to 445 of the family's 1533-position model. The record is from RNAcentral.